AGUAACGCGUGGGUAACCGUGCCUCAUACAGGGGGAUAACGAUUGGAAACGAUUGCUAAUACCGCAUAAGCGCACAGUACCACAUGGUGCAGUGUGAAAAACUCCGGUGGUAUGAGAUGGACCCGCGUCUGAUUAGCUAGUUGGUGAGGUAACGGCCCACCAAGGCAACGAUCAGUAGCCGACCUGAGAGGGUGACCGGCCACAUUGGGACUGAGACACGGCCCAG
This 226-nucleotide ribosomal RNA is filed under the name uncultured bacterium. RNAcentral describes it as "partial 16S ribosomal RNA". It matches the Rfam family "Bacterial small subunit ribosomal RNA", at positions 109 to 334 of the family's 1533-position model. The record is from RNAcentral.